CCGACGGUGAGGGGCGAAAGCUGGGGGCACGAACCGGAUUAGAUACCCGGGUAGUCCCAGCCGUAAACGAUGCUCGCUAGGUGUCUGGGAUGGUGCGACCGUUUCAGGUGCCGCAGGGAAGCCGUGAAGCGAGCCACCUGGGAAGUACGGCCGCAAGGCUGAAACUUAAAGGAAUCGGCGGGGGAGCACUACAACGGGUGGAGCCUGCGGUUUAAUUGGACUCAACGCCGGAAAACUCACCUGGGGC
Molecule: ribosomal RNA, 247 nt
Filed under: uncultured archaeon
Lineage: Archaea
Description: partial 16S ribosomal RNA
Rfam family: Archaeal small subunit ribosomal RNA
Source: RNAcentral